GGAAUAGAGAGAGAAGAGAAUAAGAGAGGAUGGGGAGGGAACGAGUGUUUGUAGCUGCUAUAACAUGUGUGACAACAGGAACGGACUCGUUUGAUGAUCAUUAAAUGUAACAAUAAAGGGAUAAAAGUAUGAUGUGUAUUAAUUGAUAACACAUGUAUUAGGAGGUAAAACUGCUGUGGCGCGAGAGGAAUAAAAGACUCCGGCGUGAUGUCAGAGGAAAAUGAUGGACCGGAUUCAGGAGCAUGCUGCGCGCGACGGCAGGUGAAUCGGAUUCCCCCCCGGCGCUCUCGGGCUGUUCCUCUUCGCUGGUAACGGUGCGUGUCGUACGGAUGUUCACGCUACACAACUCUCCACCGACAAAAUCAAACAAGCUUGAAAAUAUCAGAGCUUAAGCCAUUGUUCUGCCCAUGGAACACUAAUCCCUGCAUGUUAUGUUGCCUAGCAACCAAAGCUUACGGUCAACAGACUAUACUGUGUGGCAGAAGUAUUGUUAGUGAAUAUUAUUCAUAAUAAAUGAAAUGGUUUUAUUAUAUUGCUUUUGUCACUGUUUUAUGAACGCAGUAACGCACUCGAGGGUGUAAGAGGGGUUUACUCUGCUUCUGCUGAUGCAAAACAACGCCCCAUCACUACAACACCUACACCCUCGAGAGGAUUAGCGCUUUAAUCAGAGCAGUGAAACUUUCCACAUAUUCCAGCUUGUUAGGAAGCUGGAGUCGGAGCGCAGGUGAACCUGGAGCAGGGCGGGAGGGUUAAGGGCCGUGCUCAGGGACCCGACACUGGCAGCUUGGCUGUGCUGGGUGCGAAAGCCCCGGACCUUCUGAUCAGUAACCCAGAGCCUUAACCGUUCAGCCAGCAGAUUUACUGCAGAGUUAAUGUUCACCCCCCGGGGAUCCAGCACCAAAAAUGUCCAGAAGGUUUUUUCAUUUCCUGUUCCAGCCUUAAACCCUACACCUGUACACCCCGAGCCAACGCAAAAAACAGUUCAUGUUUAAGCCGUGUGCUGAUCGAGGAUCAGUUAUUAUACGAAAUAAACUUCAUACUGAGCUCAUAAAAUCAAACCAGAAUGGGAAAUACACGAAGUGGCCAGUGGAAUGUGCGCUCCUGACCAUCACACCCACGUGUGGUUCCUCCCCAAACACACAAUUAUACAGAGCGUCUCUGUAUGCUGUCGCUUUACAAUUUCUCCAACAACUAAGAGGAACCCAAACACUGUUCCAGCAUGACGAUGCUCCUGUGCACAAAGCGAGCUCCAGGAAGACGCGGUGUGAAGGUGGAAGAUCUCGAGCGUCCUGCACAGAGCCCCUGACCUCAACCCCACUGACUCAGCACCUUUGGGAUGAACUGGAACUGGAGUCUCCUCACAUCAUCAGCACCUGACCUCAACCCCACUAACGCUCCUGUAGCUGAACGAAC
Molecule: long non-coding RNA, 1413 nt
Organism: Ictalurus punctatus (channel catfish)
Lineage: Eukaryota; Metazoa; Chordata; Actinopteri; Siluriformes; Ictaluridae
Source: Ensembl